This 492-nucleotide ribosomal RNA is filed under the name uncultured bacterium. RNAcentral's name for it is "partial 16S ribosomal RNA". It matches the Rfam family "Bacterial small subunit ribosomal RNA", at positions 29 to 507 of the family's 1533-position model. The record is from RNAcentral.
AGUGAACGCUGGCGGUAGGCCUAACACAUGCAAGUCGAACGGCAGCACAGUAAGAGCUUGCUCUUACGGGUGGCGAGUGGCGGACGAGUGAGGAAUACAUCGGAAUCUACUUUUUCGUGGGGGAUAACGUAGGGAAACUUACGCUAAUACCGCAUACGACCUACGGGUGAAAGCAGGGGAUCUUCGGACCUUGCGCGAUUGAAUGAGCCGAUGUCGGAUUAGCUAGUUGGCGGGGUAAAGGCCCACCAAGGCGACGAUCCGUAGCUGGUCUGAGAGGAUGAUCAGCCACACUGGAACUGAGACACGGUCCAGACUCCUACGGGAGGCAGCAGUGGGGAAUAUUGGACAAUGGGCGCGAGCCUGAUCCAGCCAUACCGCGUGGGUGAAGAAGGCCUUCGGGUUGUAAAGCCCUUUUGUUGGGAAAGAAAAGCAGCAGGUUAAUACCCCGCUGUUCUGACGGUACCCAAAGAAUAAGCACCGGCUAACUUCGUG